CGCACAAGCGGUGGAGCAUGUGGUUUAAUUCGAUGCAACGCGAAGAACCUUACCUACUCUUGACAUCCAGAGAACUUAGCAGAGAUGCUUUGGUGCCUUCGGGAACUCUGAGACAGGUGCUGCAUGGCUGUCGUCAGCUCGUGUUGUGAAAUGUUGGGUUAAGUCCCGCAACGAGCGCAACCCUUAUCCUUUGUUGCCAGCGGUUAGGCCGGGAACUCAAAGGAGACUGCCAGUGAUAAACUGGAGGAAGGUGGGGAUGACGUCAAGUCAUCAUGGCCCUUAC
This 283-nucleotide ribosomal RNA is filed under the name Enterobacter asburiae. RNAcentral describes it as "partial 16S ribosomal RNA". It matches the Rfam family "Bacterial small subunit ribosomal RNA", at positions 922 to 1205 of the family's 1533-position model. RNAcentral also lists the same sequence under 4 other names. The record is from RNAcentral. Lineage: Bacteria; Pseudomonadati; Pseudomonadota; Gammaproteobacteria; Enterobacterales; Enterobacteriaceae.